Non-coding RNA from Pantherophis guttatus, 6178 nucleotides. Lineage: Eukaryota; Metazoa; Chordata; Lepidosauria; Squamata; Colubridae. The record is from RefSeq and is a predicted model, not a curated record.
UUGAUCCUGCUGGGCUUUAAAAAGACUCUGAACCCUGGGCUCGAUCAGUGUGGGUUCUAUGCAUUAUUGUACUUGGAGCUAUAGGUGUUAUAAUGAUAGGUUUUGUUUCUACUGGUUUGUUGGAUUGGUACUACUGAGGUCUUCUUUGCAUGCACUUAAUGUUGUUAAAUUAAUCAUUCAUUAUACAUUGACUGAGUAAGCAAGGGGAGAGGAGAGGAGCAACGGCUGGUACGCGGCUCAUUGCUGCGGGUUUUUGAAAACGUCAUACCAUCCGGCAGAUUGAGACGAGAUGACAGACCGGACAGAUCGCUUUUCGAGCAGGUUGGGGCUGCUCUCCGCUAAUCUUCGCUCUCUACUCUGGUACAGAGGACUGGCAAGGUUGAAAGAGGCGCCGUCACAGAAGAAAGUAUAAAGGAUUAAUCUGAAAAAAUUCCUGGACGAUCGGGCAAAGAGGAAUAGAUGACUAACUUCUUUCGUCACUUCACCCAUUUUCGCUUUCGACAUUCAGAAUUCAAUUCCGAAUAUGACCAUCUGGAAACGUCUCCUGUGGCCUCUCCUGUGGGCAGCAGCCACGCUCUGUGUUGCGAAAGAUUGCAGUAAUCAUAUAGUUGGUGUUGAAGGAGAAGAUAUUGUUUUGUCACCAUCAGUUGCAGGCAGUGGCAACCUAACAAGAAUUUAUUGGAAGAAAGGAGAAAAUAUAGUGGCUAACUCCUGGUUCAGUUUUCCUCCUGGAAGAAAAAACAAAGACUGAGUCUUGAUUCUUCCUCUGGCAAGUUGAUUCUCAAAAACCUUUCAAAAGAGGAUACUGGAAAUUACACAGCAGAAGUUUUCAUUAAUGAGAAAAUCGAAGAAACGUGUUUUGAUCUGAAAAUACUAGUAUGGCCUGAUAUAAACUGCACUAUUAACAAUGGUACCAUUCAAUUAAGCUGUACAUCACCAAGUCAGGACCUACCUCUGACAUACUCUUGGGAGAACAUCAGAAAUGAAGAAAUCUCUGAGAAGGGUUCAGUUGUUCUGCUUCAGAGGAACCCAAGCCAUUUUCAGAAAAUUACAUGUUAUGUUAUAGCUUUCGGUUCAAAUGCCAGCACUUCCAUCAAUCUGAGUGACUGUAUACCAGUAGAAGAACCUGAUCAUCAAUCAAGAAGUAGAAUACAUUUAAUCGCAAUACCAAUAAUUCUAGUUCUAAUACUGGUACUUUUCUUCUGCAUAAAGAAGUAUCUGAAAAAAAGGAAAGAAAGUAAGAUCCUUAAUGAGUCAGAAUCUGGAGCAAAGAAUGCAAGAGGAAAUUGUAAGGAAGAAACUUCUAUGCUUGAAUCUUGACAGGAGUCAGAUGUGACUUUUUCAAGGAUGAAAAAGUAAAAGUACCUCUGCAGACUCUCUUCAGUCCAAUUCAUGCAUUAUCUCCUUUUAUCAAUUUUGCUGAAUUGUAAUUGGUUUUAUUUUGCUUUUCAACUAUUAUUUUUUAUGUGUAUCAAAUUCUAAUUUACUGUGGAAUUUUAAAUAGUUGUGGACUGCUUUAUUUAUUUCAUGAGCUCUUUUGUGUACUUCUAUGGAAACAACCUAUGGAAGCAAUCAAGAGACAGUAAAAAAUGGACAAAAGAAAGAAUAAACUCAGAAUUGGUGGCUCCUUCAAAACCAUUGAAUCAGCCUAAAACUGCUGAAUAUUUAGCAACAAAGAGCAAAACAAAACAAAACAAAGAGUGAGUACAGUAGGUAAUAAAGUAAAACCAAGAAGAUGAUGUUUUUAUUGGCUGUGUUGUUCUGGAAUGGGACUUAAAAACUGAAACUGAGCACCAGCAACUGCUUGAUCUUUCUUCCUCUCUGGGAAGAAUUAUUACCAACUCAAUGAUUUAACAGCAGAGCCUCAGUCUGAGGCCGACACACCCCUUGCCACCCUCUUCAUCUUUUUCUAAAGCAGAUCAACUUGAAUAUUUAAGAAAUGAAUAAGUCUCAUAACAAGACAAUGCCUUCUAACUGCACAGACGGUCAUUUCUAUUUUUGAGCUAUUGUCAACAAUAAAUAAAUAAUAACGUGGAUACUUUGGGGGGGAAAUUUAUUUUAUUUUUUAUUUUAUUUCAAAUUUAUAUACCGCACCUUCUCCCAAGGGACUCAGGGCGGUGUACAGCCAGAUAAAAACAUAGAAUACAAACAUUAAGAACAAUUAAAAAAUCUUUGAAAGAGCUAAUCAAAAUCAUUCAAACAAAUCAAAAUUGAACAUGGGAAGGAUCCAGGAGACAGAAGUCUUCUGAUGUUAAGAAUUGCACAUGACAAUACCCUGCCUGUUUCUUGGUUUUGAUAAAACUUUACAAAAGCCAUAAUUCUUACCAUAAUUUUUUUCUGCCUAUUUUUAAUAGUCCUGAACAGUUGCUCACUCUUUUGCACCAAUUUGUAUAUGAGGCUUUGAAGACUAAAUUCUUUUAAAUACACUUUUUUCAUAUUUAAUGCCUCCUUCAAAUAUGUUUGCACUAAUAUUCAUAAAGGUGUGACUUUUUCAAGAAUUAUAAAGUGUGCCAGAAAUGAAAUAUUUGUAUUAUUUUUUUACUGAAGCUCAUAUGGUUUUUCAGAUAUAUAUUUAUAUAUAUAUAUAUAUAUAAAAUUUUAUAAACACUGCACUGGUUAGCACUGAUAGCUUUGGAAUUUAAAAUGUUUGUAAAGCUGGUUCCUAGUUCUCAUAAUUAUGGGAAAAAUCUCAAAUCUAGUUUUCUGCUGCUGAGGUGCCAUGAUGAAUUGGGCAGCAGUUACCCUUUUCCUCCACUGUGUUGCUAUAGUGUUAGGGAACAGGAUGCCCAUGCUCAUGGAUGCCAAUUGCCAAUUUGACAUGGCAGUUGCUGAUACUAUCUUUACUAUCUUUAUCCUCCACCAGUUUAAAUGAUCACUCAACGUUUGACUACUGUAUUGUUUAAUAAUUCAGUAGAAAAUGUUUUAUUUCUUCACUUAUUGUAUAGCUAUUGCAAUAAUUAACUCUGAGUCUGAAGUCAAAAUGACAAGAGAAAAUGGGAAACAUCCAUUGUUCUGAAGGGGAACAGGUUUUUGCAUCUGUGAUAUGAAAGAACAGCCCAAAAUUGGAGCUAUUUCAAAGAAGAGAAAGAUGAGAUUAGAUCUUUAAAAUCACUUUCAACAAUAUGAUUCCAUAAGAUAAAAGACAUGGCAUAAGAACGGGAAAUAUAGCCAAAUCUCAUUAUAUGGCAUCAUACCUCUCCAUAGCUUUGUGCAGAAAACAAUACAGUUAAAAGAAAAGAAAGGGAUAAAAAAUAAUUAAAGAAAUGACUUUCAAAUUUUAUUACAGCAACUAAAAUUAAAAUUGCACUUUAGGUUUUUAUUCAGGAAUGCUGGUGCUUGGAUAGUAAUAAAUUCACAGAAAUUCUAUAAAUCUCCCUUCCACCCCCUUAACUCUGGGAGUAUGAGUGAUAGAAAGAGUAAAGGAACAAACAAGUGUGUUUCUGCAUACAUGCAUAGAUGCAAACAAAAACAUAGCAGAUAUCAGAGAUAUCAAACCUGUUAUAGAUUUCUUCCAGAAAUGAUCUCUUCCUUUUGAGUAGAAGGAAAUUGGUGAUUGCUCUGGGCAAACUGAGCACUCAUUUUUUAUCUGCACUAAUGGAAAGAAAAUGGUGCAAUGAUUCCUAAAUGUCGUAUUUCUUUUCAAAGAAGUUACACAAGCAGGACAGUAAAAUGUUAAUUCUGACUGUACUGUAAAUUGGGGUUUGUUUCUACUAAAUUGAAAUAAAUGUAAAAGUAAAUACUGGUAUAAAUAAAUGUAAAAGCAACAAUAAAAACACAAUGGAUGUCCAUUUCACUGUCAAUAUACCUGAGACUGAGGUCUUGUUGUUGGAGGCAAAUAAUGAAGUUAUCAUGUAAAUGCCACAAUUUAGGUAGUAUCAGAUGUUGGUCAUUUGGUGGCAUUAUUACAGUUGACGCCUUUCCAUGUUGCGAAAUACUUCUUUCGUAGUUACUUACUCCAGUCACACAUUUCUGACUAUAUCCUUGAAGUUGCAUCUUCAGAAUGUAACUACCAGAGUAUUAUUUUAUGUAACCUGCUAGAAAUAAAAGUAUAGCCACAGCUGGCUGAUUUUGUAGAAGAAAAAAAUCAUGGAAAAAAUCAUGUUUUUUCUGCUACUGGCAAAGUGAUACAACCUCUUAACUUAAGAACAAACCUCUUCAAAUAUUGUAGAAAUGCCUGUGCUAUCUCACUCUAGCAUGGUGCCAGCUCUUUUUGUGUCUGGUAGUAUAUGAGUCCCUAUUUUUUUCAAUUCUUAGAAUGUGGAACUGUUUGAUUGUAUCUUGUCUGAUGUAUGAAAUCUCAAUUUCUUUGUUCGGAUUCAGUGAGUUAGUUGAGAUUGGGCUGGAAUGCUGGUUGUUGAGAAGGGCACUUGAAAACUGCUCACCAAUUUUGCUCAUAAAAUAGGGUAAUGUCAGUCCUUUGAGAUACAAACAAGAAAGCACAAGUACUAUCUUUAUUGUAAGAUUGCAGCUACAACCUCCUGCAAGUCUGAAAGCACUUGUCCCCUCUAUUGCCUUUACUUUCCAAAGAACUAGAGAGAGUCCCUUCUAAGGCACUCCUAUUCCUUUUGUGGGGGUGCAAUGGCUCAGCAAUUAAAAAAGCUGAGCUUGUCAGCUGGAAAGCUGGCAACCCAUGUUUGAGACCUGAACACCACACAACAGGGUCAGCUUCCAUUCCUGCUCCAGCUCCUGCCCACCCAGCACUUAAAAGUAUGCAAAUGUGAGUAGAUCAAUAGGUACCAAUUUAGAGGGAAGGUAACAGCAUUCCAUGCACCUUUGGUAUAUUGUCAUGACAGCCACAUGACCACAGAAAGUAUCUUUGGACAAUGUUGGCUUCUUCGGCCAAGAAAAGGAGAUGAGCACCACGUCCUAGAGUCAGACAUGACUGGAUAGGGAAACCUUUACCUUAUCCUUCUGUGGGCUGAGAUAUGUUUUAUCUGAUAAUUGUCCAGAGUGUGAUUCUUACUCCAUUCUCCAAAGGCAGUGGUGGGAUUCAAGCAGUUCACGGCGGAACUGGUUGUUAAAUUGCUGGCUGGCUCCGCCCCGCCCCUUCCAGAAGUCCCCCUGCGGCCUGUUUUUGCUCCCAGGAGGCUGCAGGGAGGCCUACUGGGCCGUGGGGUGGGGCGGUGUCACCCCCCCCCCCGCAGCCUGUUUUUGUUCCCAAGGGGUGCAGGAGCCCAAGUGCUGCCUGUCACACCCCUGACCAUGCCCACUCAGCUGGUCAUUAGGGCAGAGAACUGGUUGUUAAAUUAUUUGAAUCACACCAUUGUCCAAAGGUUAUUCUCACAGCCCACUGCAGGGAACAAGCAGGGGUUAGAGGGUCAACUGCAUCCUUUAUGGUCAGGAAAAUUGUCUUAAAUUAUUUUUGCACUGAAUUGAAAAAAAUAAACCUCCACAGUUAGCUGAAAGGCAGUUUGUAGACUUGUUCCCAUAGAAACUACAUGUCUGGUUCUUAGAAUAAAAUUGAAAGGAAACAGGCAGAGGGAGAUAACUGACUUAGAAGGGACAGGCCCAAGAAAUAAUCUUACACCAUCAGCCUAGCAAGAGGGAGAGCACAUUUUUCCUGCUUGUUUCUACCAAUAUUUUAGGAUCAAGAUAUGAGCAUGUGUGACACUGAACUGUUACCACUUUGUAAAGUUGAGUGCCUCUCUCUAUAUGAUAGCUUGAACUCUAGACUGAUAACAUACUGACAAUCCUUGACUUCUAGUUCUUAGCACAUAAAAGAAUAGGGUAAGAUAGGCUUGGCAUAGAUUAUCCAUCUGACAAUCAGCCCUCUCAAAAUACUAUGCUGUUUGCUUAUGUGGUCAUAGUCUCAAAAUAUAUUGAAGAGUAUUGGUUCAUUCUUAAUACCACAGGACAGGUGUCCCUAAAAUAUGCUACAGUUGGGAAUCUCUUCAUUUAGGCCUGUGCCUCACCUGUAUAUAUCUCCAUUAAGAAUUACUAAAAAUCCAUGUUCUGUAAUUACAAACUGCCAAUUAUGCGUGCCUGUGGGCAUUCCAUUCCAAAAAAGCUAAAGUUAAAAAUAGCUGCUGUAUGUUGUUUCAUGGGUGGCUAACAUUCUAUCUAUCCUGACAUCACUCUGCUAUUUAUGGCCUCAUUGUUUUGUAGAUCCUGGGGCCAUUAAGUGCAUGCCUAUAUACAUGUAAAUAUUGAUGAAAUGAAUAAAACCUCAACUGCCUUA